UGCAAGUCGAACGGUCUUUCUAUGGAAGCUUGCUUCCACUGAGGAGAUAGUGGCGAACGGGUGAGUAACACGUGGGUAACCUGCCCAUAAGAGGGGGGAUAACAUCCGGAAACGGGUGCUAAUACCGCAUAGUUUCCUUGAUCGCAUGAUCGGGAAAGGAAAGACGGCCUUUGUGCUGUCGCUUAUGGAUGGACCCGCGGCGUAUUAGUUAGUUGGUGAGGUAACGGCUCACCAAGACGAUGAUACGUAGCCGACCUGAGAGGGUGAUCGGCCACAUUGGGACUGAGACACGGCCCAAACUCCUACGGGAGGCAGCAGUAGGGAAUCUUCCGCAAUGGACGAAAGUCUGACGGAGCAACGCCGCGUGAGUGAAGAAAGGUUUUCGGAUCGUAAAACUCUGUUGUCAGAGAAGAACAAGUUGGAGAGUAACUGCUCCAGCCUUGACGGUAUCUGACCAGAAAGCCACGGCUAACUACGUGCCAGCAGCCGC
This 490-nucleotide ribosomal RNA is filed under the name uncultured bacterium. Its description in RNAcentral is "bacterial SSU rRNA". It matches the Rfam family "Bacterial small subunit ribosomal RNA", at positions 56 to 518 of the family's 1533-position model. The record is from RNAcentral.